UGGGGAAUAUUGGACAAUGGACCGAGAGCCUGAUCCAGCAAUUCUGUGUGCACGAUGACGUUUUUCGGAAUGUAAAGUGCUUUCAGUUGGGAAGAAAAAAAUGACGGUACCAACAGAAGAAGUGACGGCUAAAUACGUGCCAGCAGCCGCGGUAAUACGUAAGUCACGAGCGUUAUCCGGAUUUAUUGGGCGUAGAGCGCGUCUAGGUGGUUAUGUAAGUCUGAUGUGAAAAUGCAGGGCUCAACUCUGUAUUGCGUUGGAAACUGUAUAACUAGAGUACUGGAGUGCUAAGCGGAACUACUAGUGUAGAGGUGAAAUUCGUAGAUAUUUGUAGGAAUGCCGUUGGGAAAGCCAGCUUACUGGACAGAUACUGACGCUGAAGCGCAAAGGCGUGGGUAGCAAUCAGA
Molecule: ribosomal RNA, 407 nt
Filed under: Bacteroidota bacterium
Lineage: Bacteria; Pseudomonadati; Bacteroidota
Description: Bacteroidetes bacterium partial 16S ribosomal RNA
Rfam family: Bacterial small subunit ribosomal RNA
Source: RNAcentral